This 300-nucleotide ribosomal RNA is filed under the name Triticum aestivum (bread wheat). RNAcentral's name for it is "partial small subunit ribosomal RNA". The record is from RNAcentral. Lineage: Eukaryota; Viridiplantae; Streptophyta; Magnoliopsida; Poales; Poaceae.
AUGGGCGCCCCGGGGCCAUCCGCCAGGGACUGGUCGGAGAUGCCCUUCGACGCGCUCACCUCUGUCUUCGCCAAGCUCGCCGCCGUUGAGCUCCUCAUGGGCGCCGAGCUCGUGUGCCGCUCAUGGCUUGAGGCCGCCAAGGCGCCGGAACUAUGGCGAGCCGUGGUGAUGAUGUGCCAGCCCCACAAUGUGGUGGACAGAGGUGCCUCCUUGUGCGCCAUGGCCAAGGAGGCCGUUGACCGCUCUGGCAGGCUGCUCGAGAAGUUCGUGAUUCGUGGGGAGGAAAUUCGUCACCGAUGA